GACGAACGCUGGCGGCGUGCCUAAUACAUGCAAGUAGAACGCUGAAGAGAGGAGCUUACUCUUCUUGGAUGAGUUGCGAACGGGUGAGUAACGCGUAGGUAACCUGCCUUGUAGCGGGGGAUAACUAUUGGAAACGAUAGCUAAUACCGCAUAACAAUGGAUGACACAUGUCAUUUAUUUGAAAGGGGCAAUUGCUCCACUACAAGAUGGACCUGCGUUGUAUUAGCUAGUAGGUGAGGUAAUGGCUCACCUAGGCGACGAUACAUAGCCGACCUGAGAGGGGGAUCGGCCACACUGGGAAUGAGACACGGCCCAGAAUCCUACGGGAGGCAGCAGUAGGGAAUCUUCGGCAAUGGGGGCAACCUUGACCGAGCAACGCCGCGUGAGUGAAGAAGGUUUUCGGAUCGUAAAGCUCUGUUGUAAGGGAAGAAAGGGUGUGAGAGUGGAAAGUUCACACUGUGACGGUAGCUUACCAGAAAGGGACGGCUAACUACGUG
RNAcentral lists this ribosomal RNA (497 nucleotides) under uncultured bacterium. RNAcentral describes it as "partial 16S ribosomal RNA". It matches the Rfam family "Bacterial small subunit ribosomal RNA", at positions 28 to 507 of the family's 1533-position model. The record is from RNAcentral.